GAUCCUGCUCAGGAUGAACGCUAGCGGCAGGCUUAACACAUGCAAGUCGAGGGGCAGCAUAAUGGAUAGCAAUAUCUAUGGUGGCGACCGGCGCACGGGUGCGUAACGCGUAUGCAACCUACCUUUAACAGGGGGAUAACACUGAGAAAUUGGUACUAAUACCCCAUAACAUCAUGAGAGGCAUCUUUUAUGGUUGAAAAUUCCUAUGGUUAGAGAUGGGCAUGCGUUGUA
Molecule: ribosomal RNA, 231 nt
Filed under: uncultured bacterium
Lineage: Bacteria
Description: partial 16S ribosomal RNA
Rfam family: Bacterial small subunit ribosomal RNA
Source: RNAcentral